UACGGGGGGUGCGAGCGUUGUUCGGAUUUACUGGGCGUAAAGGGCGCGUAGGCGGGCCCUCAAGUCGGGUGUGAAAACUGGUGGCUUAACCACCAGCCUGCAUUCGAUACUGUCGGCCUUGAGUACAGAAGAGGAAAGCGGAAUUCCAGGUGUAGCGGUGAAAUGCGUAGAUAUCUGGAAGAACACCAGUAGCGAAGGCGGCUUUCUGGUCUGAUACUGACGCUGAGGCGCGAAGGCUAGGGGAGCAAACAGGAUUAGAUACCCCCGUA
Molecule: ribosomal RNA, 269 nt
Filed under: uncultured prokaryote
Description: partial 16S ribosomal RNA
Rfam family: Bacterial small subunit ribosomal RNA
Source: RNAcentral